GACCCCAGGUCAGGCGGGACUACCCGCUGAGUUU
RNAcentral lists this ribosomal RNA (34 nucleotides) under Pleuropetalum darwinii. RNAcentral's name for it is "partial 26S ribosomal RNA". The record is from RNAcentral. Lineage: Eukaryota; Viridiplantae; Streptophyta; Magnoliopsida; Caryophyllales; Amaranthaceae.